AGGCGCGUAGCUCAGUGGUUAGAGCACUUCCUUGACAUGGAAGGGGUCGGAGGUUCAACUCCUCUCGCGCCUACCA
RNAcentral lists this transfer RNA (76 nucleotides) under Gammaproteobacteria bacterium. RNAcentral describes it as "tRNA-Val". It matches the Rfam family "tRNA". Rfam says of the family: Transfer RNA (tRNA) molecules are approximately 80 nucleotides in length. Their secondary structure includes four short double-helical elements and three loops (D, anti-codon, and T loops). RNAcentral also lists the same sequence under 1 other name. The record is from RNAcentral. Lineage: Bacteria; Pseudomonadati; Pseudomonadota; Gammaproteobacteria.